Molecule: unclassified non-coding RNA, 920 nt
Filed under: Epipactis helleborine
Lineage: Eukaryota; Viridiplantae; Streptophyta; Magnoliopsida; Asparagales; Orchidaceae
Description: contains tRNA-Leu (trnL) intron and 3' exon, and trnL-trnF intergenic spacer region
Source: RNAcentral
CCAAAUCUUUGUUUUGAGAAAAAAAAAAAUGGAAAAUGAGAAUAAAAAGGGAUAGGUGCAGAGACUCAAUGGAAGCUGUUCUAACGAAUGAAAUUGACUACGUUACGUUAGUAGCUAAAAUCCUUCCAGAAAGGAUAACCUUAUAUACCUAAUACAUACGUAUACAUACUGACAUAGCAAACGAUUAAUCACAACCCGAACCUUCUAUUUUAUAAUACAUAUUAGUCUUAUAUACUAUAUACUAUUAUGAUAUGAGUAUUAGUAAGAGUAUAGGAUAGGGAUCUAUGGAAACCCUCUAUUUCUAUUCUCUAUUAAUUACUAUUAAUUAGAAUGAUAGAGAUCAAAAAAUCUAUCAAAAAUUGAAGAAUUAUUGUGAAUCAAUUCCAAUUGAAGUUGAAAAAAGAAUCGAAUUCAAAUAUUCAGUGAUCAAAUGAUUCAUUCCAGAGUUUGAUAGAUCUUUUGAAGAUUAAUUGGACGAGAAUAAAGAGAGAGUCCCAUUUUACAUGUCAAUACCGACAACAAUGAAAUUUAUAGUAAGAGGAAAAUCCGUCGAAUUUGAAAAUCGUGAGGGUUCAAGUCCCUCUAUCCCCAAGAUCCCCAAGAAAAAGCCCAUUUUACUUCCUCACUCUUUCUUUAUCCUCAUUCUCUUUUUUUUAAUCAGUGGUUCAGUUCAAACAAAAUUCAAUAUCUUUCUCAUUUCAUUCACUCUGUUCUUUUGCAACUGGAUCCAAAUAGAAAUCCUCGUAUCUUCUUCCAAUCUUGUAUAGUACGAUACCUGUACAAAUGAACAUAUAUGUUCAAGGAAUCUCCGUUAUUGAAUCAUUCACAGUCCAUAUCAUUAUACAAAGAAAGUCUUCUUUUUGAAGACCUAAGAAAUUCAGGGGCUAGGUCCAAUUUGUUAAGACUUUUUUAGUUCCUUU